Non-coding RNA from Ceratotherium simum simum (southern white rhinoceros), 94 nucleotides. NCBI's taxonomy places the organism in Eukaryota, Metazoa, Chordata, Mammalia, Perissodactyla, Rhinocerotidae. The record is from RefSeq and is a predicted model, not a curated record.
CCCACUUCUGAAAAGGCAAUGAGAGGAUGGUGCAAAAAGAUGGGGCAGAGUUCAGCCCUCCUGCACAGGGUCACUAGGAGUCAGAAUCGACUCA